CACAUCACUGCCUGCUGCUUUCUGAAGUGCUUAAGGGGACAACAUCAUGAGAGGUUGCCAAGAUAUCAGUCUCGCUGUGCUUAUUGGCACUGUCAUAGCGGCGCUAAGUAUGUGCCCUCUUGCAACCAGCCUGGAAGUGAUGUUCAGGCCGCGCACAGAAGAGAUUGCAGAUGCAGCUCAAUGAACCACCGGAACAUUUAUGUUAAGUUUGCCUGUUCAGCAGACCCUAAACGAAAGCUGAAAUCAGCCUUAAAAUAAAGCAUUGAGCCUGAAUA
Rhipicephalus microplus (southern cattle tick) is the source of this 275-nucleotide long non-coding RNA. Lineage: Eukaryota; Metazoa; Arthropoda; Arachnida; Ixodida; Ixodidae. The record is from RefSeq and is a predicted model, not a curated record.